This 407-nucleotide ribosomal RNA is filed under the name uncultured Nocardioides sp. RNAcentral's name for it is "partial 16S ribosomal RNA". It matches the Rfam family "Bacterial small subunit ribosomal RNA", at positions 355 to 774 of the family's 1533-position model. The record is from RNAcentral. Lineage: Bacteria; Bacillati; Actinomycetota; Actinomycetes; Propionibacteriales; Nocardioidaceae.
UGGGGAAUAUUGGACAAUGGGCGGAAGCCUGAUCCAGCAACGCCGCGUGAGGGAUGACGGCCUUCGGGUUGUAAACCUCUUUCAGUACCGACGAAGCGCAAGUGACGGUAGGUACAGAAGAAGCACCGGCCAACUACGUGCCAGCAGCCGCGGUAAUACGUAGGGUGCGAGCGUUGUCCGGAAUUAUUGGGCGUAAAGGGCUCGUAGGCGGUUUGUCGCGUCGGGAGUGAAAACCAUGGGCUUAACUCAUGGCUUGCUUCCGAUACGGGCAGACUAGAGGCAUGCAGGGGAGAACGGAAUUCCUGGUGUAGCGGUGAAAUGCGCAGAUAUCAGGAGGAACACCGGUGGCGAAGGCGGUUCUCUGGGCAUGUCCUGACGCUGAGGAGCGAAAGUGUGGGGAGCGAACA